This 376-nucleotide ribosomal RNA is filed under the name uncultured bacterium. Its description in RNAcentral is "bacterial SSU rRNA". It matches the Rfam family "Bacterial small subunit ribosomal RNA", at positions 524 to 898 of the family's 1533-position model. The record is from RNAcentral.
UACGGAGGGUGCAAGCGUUAAUCGGAAUUAUUGGGCGUAAAGCGCGCGCAGGUGGUUUCUUAAGUCUGAUGUGAAAGCCCACGGCUUAACCGUGGAGGGUCAUUGGAAACUGGGAGACUUGAGUGCAGAAGAGGAAAGUGGAAUUCCAAGUGUAGCGGUGAAAUGCGUAGAGAUUUGGAGGAACACCAGUGGCGAAGGCGACUUUCUGGUCUGCAACUGACGCUGAGGCGCGAAAGCAUGGGGAGCAAACAGGAUUAGAUACCCUGGUAGUCCAUGCCGUAAACGAUGAGUGCUAAGUGUUAGGGGGUUUCCGCCCCUUAGUGCUGCAGCUAACGCAUUAAGCACUCCGCCUGGGGAGUACGACCGCAAGGUUGAA